UUAAAAAGCUCGUAGUUGGAUUUCUGUCGAGGGCGGCCGGUCCCUCUUAUUGAGGUGUAUCUGGUUCGGUCUUGGCAUCCUCCUGGGGAACGUUUCUGUGCUUGAUUGCAUGUGCGGUAUUCAGGACUUUUACUUUGAGGAAAUUAGAGUGUUCACGGCAGGCUUUCGCCUUGAAUACAUUAGCAUGGAAUAAUAAUAUAGGACCUUGGUGCUAUUUUGUUGGUCUCAAGAACUAAGGUAAUGAUUAAUAGGGAUAAUUGGGGGCAUUCGUAUUAACGCGUCAGAGGUGGAAUUCUUGGAUUGCGUUACGACGAACUACUGCGAAAGCAU
This 330-nucleotide ribosomal RNA is filed under the name uncultured marine eukaryote. RNAcentral describes it as "SSU rRNA". It matches the Rfam family "Eukaryotic small subunit ribosomal RNA", at positions 619 to 954 of the family's 1831-position model. The record is from RNAcentral.